GAGAGAGAGAGAGAACGCACGAGAAGGAGGGGUAGGGUGAGGAAAGGAGAUUUCCGGACUCGGUGCAGCCAAUGAACGGACUCCACAUGCGGAGCGAGUCGACAGGGGGGCCGCUGUGAGACACAUUCAAUAAAACGCGAUAGGCGCUGCAGAGCCCAGCCACUGACAGGAGCCGCAGCCGGAAAGCGAUAACUCCCCGGGCUGCCGAAGAAAGGAGAAAAAAAAAAAGAAAAAAAGGAUAAAUAUAUGUAUAUUUUUUUUUAAAAAAGAACGUACAGAUUCAAGGGCACCGCAGCUUUGGAAGGCAAGACGACAGAGAUUCCUUCACAGAUUGUCGGAAGUGAAACUCGGCGCACGCACGCGCUUGUACGGAGAUCGAGAAGCAAGUUAACUGUGCCGGCUCCUGCGGGCUGCUUCGUGUUUUCUAUUGGAGUUGAAUUUUAUUUUUAUUAAUGUUUUGUUUCAUGUAAAUUGUCAUUAGAGCAAGCAUACAUGUUCGUGCUGUCCGUUUAAGUAACGUGUAGAGGCCGGCGAGGCACCCUCUCCGAAAAGAGAAAAGACUGACAAACAGAGGGAGCGAAGAGAGCGAGCGAGGCAUACAACAUACGUAUCCGUCCGAGUUCCCAGACCGUGUCGACGGCGGUAAUCCAGCAUGGAGAACGCGCACAUCAAGACGGUGGAUGAAGUUUUCGCCUAUUUCAGCGUGAAUGAAAGCACGGGGCUAAGCCUGGACCAGGUGAAAAAGCAAAGGGAGAAGUUUGGCCCGAAUGAGCUACCAGCUGAAGAAGGAAAAUCAUUGUGGGAGCUUGUAAUUGAACAGUUUGAAGAUUUGCUAGUUCGAAUUCUUCUAUUGGCAGCUUGCAUAUCUUUUGUGUUGGCGUGGUUUGAAGAGGGAGAAGAAACAAUCACAGCCUUUGUGGAACCUUUUGUAAUAUUACUUAUUUUAAUAGCCAAUGCUAUUGUAGGGGUGUGGCAGGAGAGAAAUGCAGAAAAUGCCAUUGAAGCUCUUAAAGAAUAUGAGCCAGAAAUGGGAAAGGUGUAUCGACAGGAUAGGAAGAGUGUCCAGAGAAUUAAGGCAAGAGAUAUUGUUCCUGGAGAUAUUGUUGAAGUAGCAGUUGGAGACAAAGUUCCUGCAGAUAUUCGAAUUUGCUCCAUCAAAUCAACAACUCUGAGAGUUGAUCAGUCCAUUCUAACAGGGGAGUCUGUGUCAGUUAUAAAGCAUACUGACCCAGUGCCAGACCCACGAGCAGUAAACCAGGACAAAAAGAAUAUGCUUUUUUCUGGCACCAAUAUUGCUGCUGGGAAAGCUGUUGGAGUUGUAGUUGCCACUGGUGUUAACACCGAAAUAGGCAAAAUCAGAGAUGAGAUGGCAGCCACUGAACAAGAAAAGACACCUUUACAGCAGAAAUUAGAUGAAUUUGGUGAACAGCUAUCCAAGGUCAUAUCUCUAAUAUGCAUAGCUGUGUGGAUCAUCAAUAUUGGACACUUCAAUGAUCCUGUCCAUGGUGGAUCUUGGAUCCGUGGUGCUGUCUACUAUUUCAAGAUUGCUGUGGCCUUGGCUGUGGCAGCUAUACCAGAGGGCCUACCUGCUGUCAUUACUACCUGUUUGGCCCUUGGUACUCGUAGGAUGGCCAAGAAGAAUGCCAUUGUUCGAAGUCUGCCUUCUGUUGAGACCUUGGGCUGCACUUCUGUCAUCUGUUCUGAUAAAACUGGCACUCUUACUACAAACCAGAUGUCUGUGUGCAGGAUGUUUAUCAUUGACAAGACAGAGGCAGACAGCUGUACUUUAAAUGAGUUUACCAUCACUGGAUCAACAUAUGCACCCGAGGGAGAAGUGUAUAAAGACGGAAAGCCUAUUAAAUGUUCACAGUAUGACAGCCUUAUUGAAGUGGCCACAAUCUGUGCCUUGUGUAAUGAUUCAUCUCUGGAUUACAACGAGGCUAAGGGUGUAUUUGAAAAGGUUGGUGAAGCAACUGAAACUGCACUCACCUGUUUAGUGGAGAAAAUGAAUGUAUUUGAUACAGACUUGAAGGCUCUGUCUAAGAUUGAACGUGCCAACUGCUGCAAUUCUGUAAUUAAACAGUUGAUGAAGAAAGAGUUCACCUUGGAGUUCUCCAGAGACAGAAAGUCAAUGUCUGUAUAUUGUACUCCUAACAAAACACGAGGUGGCAGUGCAGGAAAGAUGUUUGUCAAGGGUGCCCCAGAAGGAGUACUGGACAGAUGUACUUAUAUUCGUGUGGGUCAGACCAAAGUUCCCAUGACAAUUGGCAUCAAAGAAAAAAUCAUGUCCGUGAUAAGAGAGUGGGGUACUGGCAGAGAUACACUACGUUGUCUUGCACUUGCAACUCGUGACAGCCCAUUGAGGAAGGAGGAAUUAAAACUGGAAGAUUCUUCACGAUUUGCAGAAUAUGAGAGUGACCUCACUUUUGUUGGUUGUGUGGGAAUGCUGGAUCCUCCUAGAGCUGAAGUUGCUGCCUCCAUUAAGCUCUGUAGGAUGGCUGGUAUACGUGUGAUCAUGAUCACUGGAGACAAUAAGGGUACAGCUGUAGCAAUUUGCCGACGUAUUGGCAUCUUUGGGGAGGACGAUGAUGUAACUCAGAAGGCAUUCACAGGUCGUGAAUUUGAUGAUCUGUCUCCCAGUGCCCAGAGAGAUGCAGUCGUCAAUGCCCGUUGCUUUGCAAGAGUUGAGCCAUCUCACAAGUCAAAAAUUGUUGAAUUUCUUCAGUCAUUUGAUGAAAUCACUGCUAUGACAGGGGAUGGUGUAAAUGAUGCACCUGCCCUCAAGAAGGCAGAAAUUGGUAUUGCUAUGGGCUCUGGAACGGCUGUAGCAAAAACUGCAUCUGAGAUGGUAUUGGCUGAUGACAAUUUUGCUACCAUUGUAGCUGCGGUGGAGGAGGGCCGAGCCAUUUAUAAUAAUAUGAAACAGUUUAUUCGCUACCUCAUUUCCUCUAAUGUGGGGGAAGUUGUCUGUAUUUUCUUGACUGCUGCACUUGGAUUUCCGGAGGCACUUAUCCCAGUUCAGUUGCUAUGGGUGAACCUGGUUACUGAUGGCUUGCCAGCUACAGCUCUAGGUUUCAAUCCCCCUGACUUGGACAUCAUGAAUAAACCCCCACGGAAUGCCAGAGAACCCUUAAUUAGUGGCUGGCUGUUCUUCAGAUAUUUGGCCAUUGGAGGCUAUGUAGGAGCUGCCACUGUAGGUGCAGCGGCAUGGUGGUUUAUGGCAGCUGAAGAUGGCCCUCGCGUGACCUUCCACCAACUGAAUCAUUUCCUGCAGUGUACACCUGAAAAUCCAGAUUUCCAGGAUGUUGACUGUGAAGUUUUUGAGUCGCCCUAUCCUAUGACCAUGGCUUUGUCUGUCCUUGUGACCAUUGAAAUGUGCAAUGCCCUAAACAGUUUGUCAGAAAACCAGUCCCUGUUGAGGAUGCCUCCUUGGGAGAAUGUAUGGUUGCUAGGAGCCAUCUGCUUAUCUAUGUCCCUGCAUUUCUUGAUUCUCUAUGUUGAGCCACUGCCUUUAAUUUUCCAGAUCACCCCAUUGAACAUUACACAGUGGCUGAUGGUGCUGAAAAUUUCACUUCCCGUCAUCCUCUUAGAUGAAUUGCUCAAAUUUGCUGCCCGUAACUACUUGGAGCCUGGUAAAGAGCUUGCAAAGCCUUCGGGCAGUGGUUGUGCUUUGUCAGCAUGCACAGAGGGGAUAUCGUGGCCGUUUGUGCUGGUCUCUGCACCCCUUGUAGCCUGGCUCUACAGUACAGACACUAACAUUUCUGACAUGUUCUGGUCUUGACUGACAGAGGUUUGUUUUGGAUAAAGUCAAGGAAAACUAAUAAAACUACCCUUAAUGUGUUAUUUUUUUAUGUUACCAUUAAAAAGAGCUGUCUGAUUCUGCUGAAUUGGUUAAUACAAAACUGUUAAAGGGUUAUGGGUGUUUAUGGCCCUCCCCCUAUAUUUUUAUUUAUUUUUUUUUUAAUCUAUUUAGGUUUGUUUCAAGAAAAUAAACCAGGGAGUUGGUGGGGCUUGGGGGUGUGGAUGGUUGGGUUCCCAAAGAUAGGUUUAAACAUAAAUUCAUUUGUUCAUGUACAGAGAUUUAACACUAUUUUAUGCAAAUAUUUGUUUUUGUAGAUGUUUUUGAGAGGAAGGAGCAUGUACAGCAUUUUGUUUACUAAUAUGUUUUAGCCAUUAUUUUUGCCUAUUUUGUAAAAAUGGAGAACCAUGUAGGCUAACGGACAUACAUUCUUCAAGGGAUGCUUUGGUAGGAUCUUUUAGAAAAGAAAGUUUACUUCUGGGAACUAUUAAAACAAAACCGCAUGUACUGUGUUUCAAGCAUGGCAAAGUGGGUGUGUUUAUUUAUUUUUUAUUUUAGUUUUUUUUUUCUUUUCCCUCCUGUAUCAACUGUUUUUACAUGCCUGUACCAGUUUUUUUUUUUUUUUAUAUAUUUCAAUGCCAGUUUUUCUGCAUUUGGAGCAGAACUCAGCUACCUCAAGCAAAAUUGCUUUUGUUUGUGUAACCUAUGUUAAUUAUUCUUGUUUACACCCUUCCCUCCUAUAAUUUGAGGUCCUUCCCUUCUGUGUUUGAGGUAUGCCCAUUCUUGCUUCUGCAGAAAAUUCUGCUUCCCAUGUUUGUCGUUCAUAAGAUUUUAAAAGUAUUUAUUUUUUUUUAUUCUAUCUGAUCCUUUAAGUUUUUCUUAUGUCAUUCACUGACCAUCCUACACAGCUAAUUUUAUUUGAAUUGAAGUUGGAAAAAAAUAAAUAAAAAAAAUGGUAUGUGUUUGUACUCUUAUGUUUGCUAAAGAGAUUCAUUGUGUCUUAACUUGUAUGGCAUAUUCAUAUACUUGAAUGUCUGUCACCUGCAGAUGGACACACUAUGUUAACCAGUCUUGUAUAUUUUUAGUCGCUUAAUGGCCAUUAUUAAGGGGAUAUUGUGAGAAGGCUGUAAAUGUGUACAUAGCCAUUAACCUAUUGAGUACCUCUGUAUUAUAGAAAAUACCACAUCAGUAGUACAUAAAAAAGACAGACCUGUAGUUUAGCUUGUUCAGUAUAAUCGGCAGUAGAUUAGUAUACCUCUGGAGCAUGUUUUCUGCAAUACCAAGGCACUACUACUAUGUUAACAAGCUUAACUGUAUUUCUUCCAAUGCCUACCCGAGUCCAUCACCUAAACCAGGGAAGAGUAAAGCCCAGUUUAAAAAAAAAAAAAAAAGUAUGAAAAUGUAAGGGUUUUUUUUAGCGUGCAUGUGUGUUUUGAGCAGCACUACAUUUAUCAAGAUCAGUGCAUGUGCAAUCAAGGAAGAAGGAAAAUGGUGUGUUCUUGUAGAAAGCAAGUCUGGUUUAAAAAGGAAAAAAAAAUAAAUACGUAAAUAAGCGUGAGGACAUCAGUAACUGCUGAAGAGAUUUCCUGGACUCCGCCGCUGCAUGAAGCCUGUUUUUUGGCUUAGUUUUGAAUGUUAACGAAGAGGCUGGAAGUUGGCGUGUUAACUUAAAUCACACUUCCUUCUGUAGACAAUGCCCUAGAGAAUACCAAUGUACUGAAAACUGUAAUGCAUGUCUCCAGGUGGCAGUAGCCAAAAUGUUCUGGCGUUUCAUUUUUAAAAGCUAUGUACAAUAUUGCAGUUAUAUAUAAAUCAGUUUGUUCUUCAGUGUUAAUACUGUAAACCCCUCCUCCAUAAUUUGAUAGAGCCUGAUAUUUUUCCUAAGGAAAGCUUGUGUGUGCAAAAUACAUUACUAGAAGUUUUAUUUUAUUUUUUGCACCGUAAAAGUAACUUAUUGAAGUAUAUAGCAGUAGUAGAUUACUGCACAGUUAGUUUGUGAUGCAUAUGUGUUAAUGCAAUCUGUAACAUUUGGCAUGGUCCUUCAUGUAAAUAUGAUCAGCUGUUAAUUUUAUUUGAUUGUAAUAAGCAUCACUGUUCAUGCUUUCAGACAAAAAAAAAUCUGGGAUAUAAAAUUGCUUUGGUUUGAAUGUGGUGUAGCAUUAGAGCUAUUAUGCUCUCUUCUUUCUUUUUUUUCUUUUUCAUGUUACACAAGUUUACAACAUUCACGAAAAAAUAGUGUGGGGAAAAAUGAAUAUAAAAGGGUGAAUGUUUCCUCUUCAUUUUUAAGUGAUUAAAUUAUACCAACUGAACAUUU
RNA transcript from Polypterus senegalus (gray bichir), 6113 nucleotides. It is a transcript of the gene named sarcoplasmic/endoplasmic reticulum calcium ATPase 2, with no coding region annotated. The record is from RefSeq and is a predicted model, not a curated record. The transcript has 21 exons. Lineage: Eukaryota; Metazoa; Chordata; Cladistia; Polypteriformes; Polypteridae.